Molecule: ribosomal RNA, 660 nt
Filed under: Pseudomonas sp. EK-I52
Lineage: Bacteria; Pseudomonadati; Pseudomonadota; Gammaproteobacteria; Pseudomonadales; Pseudomonadaceae
Description: bacterial SSU rRNA
Rfam family: Bacterial small subunit ribosomal RNA
Source: RNAcentral
AUGUGGGAGGCCUACCUGCAGUCGAGCGGUAGAGAGGUGCUUGCACCUCUUGAGAGCGGCGGACGGGUGAGUAAUGCCUAGGAAUCUGCCUGGUAGUGGGGGAUAACGCUCGGAAACGGACGCUAAUACCGCAUACGUCCUACGGGAGAAAGCAGGGGACCUUCGGGCCUUGCGCUAUCAGAUGAGCCUAGGUCGGAUUAGCUAGUUGGUGAGGUAAUGGCUCACCAAGGCGACGAUCCGUAACUGGUCUGAGAGGAUGAUCAGUCACACUGGAACUGAGACACGGUCCAGACUAAUACGGGAGGCAGCAGUGGGGAAUAUUGGACAAUGGGCGAAAGCCUGAUCCAGCCAUGCCGCGUGUGUGAAGAAGGUCUUCGGAUUGUAAAGCACUUUAAGUUGGGAGGAAGGGCAUUAACCUAAUACGUUAGUGUUUUGACGUUACCGACAGAAUAAGCACCGGCUAACUCUGUGCCAGCAGCCGCGGUUAUACAGAGGGUGCAAGCGUUAAUCGGAAUUACUGGGCGUAAAGCGCGCGUAGGUGGUUCGUUAAGUUGGAUGUGAAAGCCCCGGGCUCAACCUGGGAACUGCAUUCAAAACUGUCGAGCUAGAGUAUGGUAGAGGGUGGUGGAAUUUCCUGUGUAGCGGUGAAAUGCGUAAAAA